UAAGUGUCUUCGAGCCCUCUUUCCUAAAACGCAAGUCAUGGAGCUUGGGCCGGUUCCCUCGGGAACAAAGGGUUAUUUUGGAAACGAAAUGGCCUUCCGUGUUUGAAAAGGAGG
RNAcentral lists this non-coding RNA (114 nucleotides) under uncultured Faecousia sp. RNAcentral's name for it is "Moco (molybdenum cofactor) riboswitch". It matches the Rfam family "Molybdenum/Tungsten riboswitch aptamer (Moco RNA motif)", at positions 13 to 119 of the family's 135-position model. Lineage: Bacteria; Bacillati; Bacillota; Clostridia; Eubacteriales; Oscillospiraceae. The record is from RNAcentral.